CGGCGGACGGGUGAGUAACGCGUAGGAAUCUACCUGGUAGUGGGGGACAACAUGGUGAAAACCAUGCUAAUACCGCAUACGCCCUAAGGGGGAAAGCGGGGGAUCUUCGGACCUCGCGCUAUUGGAUGAGCCUGCGUAAGAUUAGCUAGUUGGUGGGGUAAAAGCUCACCAAGGCGACGAUCUUUAGCUGGUCUGAGAGGAUGAUCAGCCACACUGGAACUGAGACACGGUCCAG
RNAcentral lists this ribosomal RNA (235 nucleotides) under uncultured bacterium. Its description in RNAcentral is "partial 16S ribosomal RNA". It matches the Rfam family "Bacterial small subunit ribosomal RNA", at positions 96 to 334 of the family's 1533-position model. The record is from RNAcentral.